UUUAUUUAUUUAAGUGUGAUGUCUUUCAUUAAAAAAAUAAGUUGAUUUGUCAUAGAAAACAAUAUUUCCACUAGUUUUGAGGCAAAGACAAUUUGAAGAUUCAAUAACAGACUUUAUAAUCGUGGAAGUUUUUUUUUAUGGUGGAUAUUUUUUGGAGUGUUUGGAGUAGCGGUGUUGUGAUGACAAUCGUGCUGAUUGGCAAUCCAACACAUCCUGGUGUCUCACUGCUGCACCUGUUACUUCCACAAAUAGUCUACCUGCCAACAUCCCGGAGAGGCACAAACAAGACUCGUCAACCAGAUGGCCGCUGCUAAGAUAUUUCACAGGGUCAGCUAGCCUAAGUUUAGCAGGUGAGAGGAGUGAGAAAGAAGAAAAAUGUCAUCACAGAGACCCAACAAAGACUUUCAAGUGGAGGGAAAAAGAAAGCACAUUGCUCUGAAUUGAGCAACUGCAGACAAAUGAAAACAAGCAAACAAAAACAUUAA
This is a long non-coding RNA of Thunnus maccoyii (southern bluefin tuna), 485 nucleotides long. RefSeq lists it as uncharacterized. The record is from RefSeq and is a predicted model, not a curated record. The transcript is spliced from 2 exons. Lineage: Eukaryota; Metazoa; Chordata; Actinopteri; Scombriformes; Scombridae.